AAAGGCUGCAACUAUCUGUUAUUGAUUUUAAAAUGCUGGUUUUUCAUCCAAUCCCUUAGGUUGUUUUAUACAAUAUUAAAUGCAAACUAGAAAAUUUCUGAAGAAAUUUAAACGGGGCCUGCCAAAGUGUGCCUGUUGCUUGGAACCCAGCGUUUUGAUGCUAAAAAUUAGCAUUAAUGACACAGCAGAAGAAGUCAGACGGGAGAGACUUCAGAGAGGAGCUGACAUCAGGCGAGAGACGCAGGCAACAUGUUCGGAGAAGAACUAGAGAAAAUAACAAUUGUUUACUUUUUUCCGAUGGGUUUUACCGUCGGAUACACAGUUACAACAGCGAUGAGAAGACUGUGGGACUUGUUAUUUUCUGGGGAACAAAAUUCAGCUCUAACCGUUUCCACCAGAUCAACGGGCGGAAAUUUCCCAACAAAACAGGUCAGGCAACAGGGUCUAUCAGAAAACGUAGAGACCCAUUUAAUUAUAAAGUAAAGAAGAAGAAGUGAAAACUUUAACACACCGGCACAAACAUGGGUGGACCAGGGAAAAUAAAACCGAUCUAAUAGAACUGGUCCAAGCUGAGGAAGACCUGGAUUCUCCACCGCCAUCUCACAGACCAUCUUGGGUUCGAUGUAACUAUAUUUUUGAUGUUACCUGCAAAGAAAUACGUCCUGCCUUCAUCGUCUGUGGUGGCUGCAUUCAGUUUGACGUCUCUGCAUUUAAGAGGUUUCCAGUCUUCUCCGUGACUUGCAGUCAAACACAAAAUAAAGAACAAAUAAAGACAUAAAAAAAAAAAUUGCAAUAAUGCUAAAAUAAGCUACAAUAUACUCGAUAGCUUGUGGACAGUCACAAGUAUGCUGAGCAACAUGGACAUCAGUAUAUCAGUAUAUUAAGAUUAGCUUAGCUUAGCUAAAAGCUAAGGUAAUUAGUGUAGGCUAAUGUUAGCCUAAAUGCUGCCAGUGGCAUGUGGGGUAUAAUUAGCAUGUUGUCUGACACUGACUUCCUCCAUUCAGUGUGCUAAACAUGGCUAAUAAAUAAACAAAAU
Molecule: long non-coding RNA, 1036 nt
Organism: Xiphophorus hellerii (green swordtail)
Lineage: Eukaryota; Metazoa; Chordata; Actinopteri; Cyprinodontiformes; Poeciliidae
Exons: 2
Source: RefSeq, a predicted model, not a curated record